CGGGCGAGGGGCCAGAGCGCCCCGGGCGGCGCUGCUAAAACCCGCAUGAGGAGAUUAAAGCAACAGGAAACGAUCUAAUUCCUUCUCCUCCUUCCGCCAUCCGCUGCCUUUCGGGGGCAGAUUCCGUCAUGAAUUAAAAGAUCCGAGGCUGAGCGUGAACAGGGCGCUUGCUCGGGAUGGUGGAGGGCUGAGCGAGGUGUUGGGGAGAGAGGUGAAGUUUCUGGGAAGACUGGUGUGAAGUCUGAUGAAUUACUCUCUAUUUCCAAGAAAUCUACACUUUCCCCUCCUUUACCAGAAGUUUCAAGAAAGCUUUUUCAGUUACUAUUGCUUUUUGUCAGAAGUCGAAAACCUGUUUCACACAGAGAAUACUCAGCUGAACAGGACAGUAUUG
Molecule: long non-coding RNA, 391 nt
Organism: Neopelma chrysocephalum (saffron-crested tyrant-manakin)
Lineage: Eukaryota; Metazoa; Chordata; Aves; Passeriformes; Pipridae
Exons: 3
Source: RefSeq, a predicted model, not a curated record